GGAAAGUUCUGGUCAAAGAAGAUACUAGACAGGAUGUCUGAAUUUGUAUACUAUAAACUACUUUUCUUUCUAAAUAAGUACAUUUAAAUUUGUCAAACAAACCAACUGAAAUAUUAAAUAAUAGGUAUAAACAUAUAACUGUAUGGGAAGACAUUCCCCACCAUUUCUUUUUUUUUCCUGUCAUGGCUAAACUUCUACAUCUCUUCAGUGCUCCAGAGAGUUUCACCACUAUUUGUAAAGCCUGAAGAAAGUAAAGGAAUAAAAACUGAAAGUAAAAUCGCAUGGGAUCAAGAGAACUCAUCUCUCUGUCAAAGUGAUUCUGCUUCAGAUUCACAAAAAUUAGAUGAGAAGAAUGCCUAUGAUCUUCAAAUCUGAGUUCAUCUAUAUGUGGACCAUGGACAGGCUGGGAAUGCUCUGCCAGAAUAUAAAAGCAAAAGACGGAGAUUUAUGAACCUGAAGAGCUUUUCUCUGCCUGGUCCAAUCUCCAAGCAUUUCAAAUUUUAUUAACCUCUUCUAUUAUCUGAUUUGUUAUUCCUGUACAUUGUGCCUUGGUUGGACCAUCAGUUAAUGGUUCUGCUCUCAGAAACAAAGAAAGACUGACAUAAGAAAAGAGGGAUCUGUCUUUCUUUUCUGGUCAGGAGAACAAAAUAAGGCAAGCUGAUGUGUGUGUGUCCUUAGCAACUUUGCUACCAGAAAUUCUUUCUAAACAUUUCUGACUGCAGUCCCUUGAUUUUGACAAAUGCUUCAGCCAUAAAAGUGCUUUUAGUUUCAAAAGAAUUUCUAUACAGUAUUUCUAUACAGGAAUAGUGUUUCCUCCAGUCUAACCUUCUCACCAUGAAAAUUUCUACAGAG
This 852-nucleotide long non-coding RNA is filed under the name Numida meleagris (helmeted guineafowl). Its description in RNAcentral is "lncRNA (ENSNMEG00000018703.1)". The record is from RNAcentral. Lineage: Eukaryota; Metazoa; Chordata; Aves; Galliformes; Numididae.